RNAcentral lists this ribosomal RNA (462 nucleotides) under uncultured bacterium. Its description in RNAcentral is "partial 16S ribosomal RNA". It matches the Rfam family "Bacterial small subunit ribosomal RNA", at positions 28 to 507 of the family's 1533-position model. The record is from RNAcentral.
GACGAACGCUGGCGGCGUGCUUAACACAUGCAAGUCGAGCGGAAAGGCCCUUCGGGGUACUCGAGCGGCGAACGGGUGAGUAACACGUGAGUAACCUGCCCCAGACUUUGGGAUAACCCUCGGAAACGGGGGCUAAUACCGGAUACGACACAGCUUCGCAUGGGGUCUGUGUGGAAAGUUUUUCGGUUUGGGAUGGGCUCGCGGCCUAUCAGCUUGUUGGUGGGGUGAUGGCCUACCAAGGCGACGACGGGUAGCCGGCCUGAGAGGGCGACCGGCCACACUGGGACUGAGACACGGCCCAGACUCCUACGGGAGGCAGCAGUGGGGAAUAUUGCACAAUGGGCAGAAGCCUGAUGCAGCGACGCCGCGUGAGGGAUGACGGCCUUCGGGUUGUAAACCUCUUUCAGCAGGGACGAAGCGUAAGUGACGGUACCUGCAGAAGAAGCGCCGGCCAACUACGUG